This 2233-nucleotide long non-coding RNA is filed under the name Gallus gallus (chicken). Its description in RNAcentral is "lncRNA (ENSGALG00010022061.1)". Lineage: Eukaryota; Metazoa; Chordata; Aves; Galliformes; Phasianidae. The record is from RNAcentral.
UAAGGUCUCAGGGUUAAAACACACGUUCUGCCAGGGAGUUUGGGCACCUUAGACUAUAGCAAUUCUUCCGUGGGGUGCUCGUGUUAAGAACGGGGAUCGAGAGACUGUGUGUGACCUCGCUGUUAGGAAGGUGUGGGCCGGGUAUGUAAACAAGCACAAGAGUCAUAUUUGUGCAGGCUUUCAGGAACCAUCAGCUCAAAAACUUCCUGGAGCGAGAGCAGAAGACACGGCAGAUCCACGCGCCUCUCCCCACUAAUGGUGUUUUAGUGCCAUUAGAGUUCCCCAGAUUUCUGUUAAUAUCCUUACUCAUCAGUGCUAGUGAUCUUUCUUGGUGGGUCAAAGGAGCCGCCUGUGUCAGAGUUACUCCCCCAGCGUCCACCUCCUUCCGUUCUUCCAAUCCCUUCGCUCCAUCACCGCUCCCACCCGAGCCUCCUGCUGACCUUCGGGCCCCGCUCAGCCCCGGGAACAGCCUUCUGCCUUCACUGUGCAUGUGCAGACCUGACAUGUGGAUGUGGGUCUAGGGUAGGAAAUCCAUUGGCAGAGUCAUGGCCAGUGGGUAGCAUCGGUAAUUGUAGGAGCGACGCUUCCAAACGGGUGAAAUAGCAAAGUGAGGGGUUAAUGUGCUGCAGGUCAAUUUCGUUCCAGCUCAACCCAAACGGCCAGUGGAUCCGGUUCCAAGGCUCCACUGAGUUCCUGCACAACCCCUGAUUAAACAGGAAAAACCUGUGAAUUGUUGGCUUUGAAUCCCAGGCUGGGGACGGAGUGCGCUUGAGUAACAUGCAUGCUUCGGGAUUUCAUUUCAAUUUCUCAAGCCUCGGAGGAAAGGGAAGAAACCUAGGCCUUUCUACAAGAAGGGGAAAAAGAUCUAAUCUGUUUACACCCCGCAUUCCUCACGUUCCUUUGAUAGCCUGCUACUAUAAAAGCCCUCGGUCCCACCUAUGGCACGAGGUUAGUUCUGCUGCAGCUCCAUUAAAUCUGUCUGAAAAGGCAGACGUGACCCGCUGUACCCGGAGGUCCUGCUUCAUUCGGACACCGGUGCAGCCCAGUUGUUUGUGAUUACGUAUGGAUCUGAGCAGAUCCUGUUUCCCCUUCAGAGAAGGUACGCACCCACCCACCUCGUUUCAAAAAGGCUCCUUUUCCUGGUAAGAACUUAAAAGUGUCCUGGUAUGGGAAUGCCCUUCUUGGAAAAUGAAGCUCUUUCCCCUGCUCCCUCCCCUCUGUUUGAACGUGAUGACUCAAGCUUGGUGCAAAUCCAAGGCAAAUAGAAGGUGCGGGCGCCGGCAGUUGGUUAACUCCUGAGCUGCUGCGAACAGAGAUCACCAAGCAGACCCAAGCCGCAUCCCAGGCUGUGGGCUCCGGGCCUCUCUUCCCAAUCCCCUCCAGGAUUCUGUGGUCUGGAGGUUUUCCAGCCACGAUGCUGAAGGAGUAGGUGGGAGCUGGAGAUUCCGUAUCUUCUGCUGCGUUGGUUAUCAAACCCUUCCCUCAGCUGCAGUCACAGCAGUGGAGUUAACAGCACCGGGCUCGCCGAGGUUUACUUUCCCAUGUGUGCGUUCAGAACGGGGCCAGAUGUUGGGUUAUUUUUGUUCCUGUAGUGCCGUUGCGUCAAACCGUUGGAAUCCAUCGGCAGCACUGCGCUGGUGGAAGUUGGGUCAGGGCCCACAAAGUGUGAGCACGGGGCAACUAUUCUGCCACAUCCAAGCCAUGACGGUCUUCCAAAGACUGAAGCAGAACAUUAGAAACCUGUGUUGGCGAGUGGGCAAAGGGCAGAGGAACCUACAGCUGACCUACGUGUAGCCGGGGCCGAUGGAACACAAAUGAAGGGCUUUGGAGUGAAGCUGAGGGGGAACGCGUGGCACGGUUGGGUCUUGCCAGCAGGUGGUGAGGAUGCUGAAGCGCCGCUCUCUGAGGUGUCUCUGAAACAAAGACAGAAUGAGGAAGAAAGGCCACCUGAAUAUCAACAGCUUCCAUCGGAAGUAAUCUGGGCUCAGUGAUCAGCAUUUCAUAACAAAAAAGUGAUUUGAAUGGUACAGCUCGAAUCGCAGCUUCCUCCCUUGAUUUGCCACAGCUCUGAUUUUUAUUUGCAAACGAAGGCACAAACGCAGCAAUAUCUGUUUGAAUAUUAAAAUAUUUCUGGAAAUCAGCCUGAAUGUAAUGGAACAAAUCCUGAAAGGGUUCCAAAAAAAUAUAAUCACCCAUGGAAACAAUUUGAAUGCUCCCCAAGGGGACACAGGCG